AUGGUGUUGCUUGACAUUAGGGGUAUGUUGCAGUCCAUGGGCAAAGACAUAGCUGAUUUCGCUCUUCCAUGCAUUGACGAUGCGUUCGACCCAACCGAGGGCGAGGCCAGAGAAGUGAUCGAGGAAUCCAACGUCGAUUUUGACAUCAAUGGCACUAAAUUGGCUUCGUCGCUAAACUCGAAGCAAAGGGUUGCAUACGACGAGAUACUAGCUUCUGUUGAACGCGGUGAUGGGGGUGUGUUCUUUGUUGAUGGACCGGGAGGUACAGGGAAGACCUUCCUGUACAGGGCACUGCUCGCCAAGGUUCGAAGCGAGGGAAACAUCGCUAUCGCUACCGCGACAUCAGGCAUCGCCGCUUCUAUCAUGCCUGGAGGCAGGACUGCCCACUCGAGGUUCAAGAUCCCAUUG
This 408-nucleotide ribosomal RNA is filed under the name Triticum aestivum (bread wheat). RNAcentral's name for it is "partial small subunit ribosomal RNA". The record is from RNAcentral. Lineage: Eukaryota; Viridiplantae; Streptophyta; Magnoliopsida; Poales; Poaceae.